This 117-nucleotide ribosomal RNA is filed under the name Propithecus coquereli (Coquerel's sifaka). The record is from RNAcentral. Lineage: Eukaryota; Metazoa; Chordata; Mammalia; Primates; Indriidae.
GUCUAUGGCUGUACCACCCUGAACACGCCCAGUCUCAGAAGCUAAGCAGGGUCAGGCGUGGUUAGUACUUGGAUAUGAGUUAGUACUUGGAUGGGUGAUUUCCAGGGGCCAGGAAGU